GGAAGUAAAAGUUGUAACAAGGUCUCCGUUGGUGAACCAGCGGAGGGAUCAUUACAGAGUUGCAAAACUCCCAAACCAUUGUGAACGUUACCUAUCCCGUUGCUUCGGCGGGCGGCCCGGGCCCCGCGCCCGGCGCCCCCCGGCCCCCCGUGGGCGCCCGCCGGAGGUAAACCAAACCCUUGAAUUGCAUGGCCUCUCUGAGUCUUCUGUACUGAAUAAGUCAAAACUUUCAACAACGGAUCUCUUGGUUCUG
This 253-nucleotide unclassified non-coding RNA is filed under the name plant metagenome. RNAcentral's name for it is "partial contains small subunit ribosomal RNA, internal transcribed spacer 1, and 5.8S ribosomal RNA". The stretch from base 1 to 54 matches the Rfam family "Eukaryotic small subunit ribosomal RNA", at positions 1778 to 1831 of the family's 1831-position model. The record is from RNAcentral.